AGCUAAUACAUGCUGAAAACCCUGACUUCGGAAAGGGUGUAUUUAUUAGAUAAAAAACCAAUGCCCUUUGGGCUCUUUGGUGAUUCAUGAUAACUUAACGGAUCGCAUGGCCUUGCGCCGGCGACGGUUCAUUCAAAUUUCUGCCCUAUCAACUUUCGAUGGUAAGGUAUUGGCUUACCAUGGUUUCAACGGGUAACGGGGAAUUAGGGUUCGAUUCCGGAGAGGGAGCCUGAGAAACGGCUACCACAUCCAAGGAAGGCAGCAGGCGCGCAAAUUACCCAAUCCCGACACGGGGAGGUAGUGACAAUAAAUACUGAUACAGGGCUCUUUUGGGUCUUGUAAUCGGAAUGAGUACAAUUUAAACCUCUUAACGAGGAACAAUUGGAGGGCAAGUCUGGUGCCAGCAGCCGCGGUAAUUCCAGCUCCAAUAGCGUAUAUUAAAGUUGUUGCAGUUAAAAAGCUCGUAGUUGAAUCUUGGGCCUGGCUGGCCGGUCCGCCUCACCGCGUGUACUGGUCUGGCCGGGCCUUUCCUUCUGGAGAACCUCAUGCCCUUCAGUGGGUGUGUUGGGGAACCAGGACUUUUACUUUGAAAAAAUUAGAGUGUUCAAAGCAGGCCUUUGCUCGAAUACGUUAGCAUGGAAUAAUAGAAUAGGACGUGCGGUCCUAUUUUGUUGGUUUCUAGGACCGCCGUAAUGAUUAAUAGGGAUAGUCGGGGGCAUCAGUAUUCAAUUGUCAGAGGUGAAAUUCUUGGAUUUAUUGAAGACUAACUACUGCGAAAGCAUUUGCCAAGGAUGUUUUCAUUAAUCAGUGAACGAAAGUUAGGGGAUCGAAGACGAUCAGAUACCGUCGUAGUCUUAACCGUAAACUAUGCCGACUAGGGAUCGGGCGAUGUUUCUAUCUUGACUCGCUCGGCAC
Molecule: ribosomal RNA, 915 nt
Filed under: Lophiostoma chiangraiense
Lineage: Eukaryota; Fungi; Ascomycota; Dothideomycetes; Pleosporales; Lophiostomataceae
Description: SSU rRNA
Rfam family: Eukaryotic small subunit ribosomal RNA
Source: RNAcentral